Molecule: long non-coding RNA, 1249 nt
Filed under: Capsella grandiflora
Lineage: Eukaryota; Viridiplantae; Streptophyta; Magnoliopsida; Brassicales; Brassicaceae
Description: long non-coding RNA (CGRA_LNC000307)
Source: RNAcentral
GAUAUAUCAUUGUUUUUACGGGUUUUUGGCCAUGAUAUAAGUCUUAUUUAUAGAGCUUUUAUAGUGUUUUCGAGUCUUUUGCAGUCAUUUCAUGAUUAGGAGCUAUUUGGCAUGGAUUGGAGCUUUUGGAGCAUUUGGGAGCAUUUGGAGAAGAUGUGCCGAAGGAACGUACCAGGAGAGCAUAUUUGGUGUGAGUGUCGAGCGUCACAACCUAUGGUGUCGAUCGACACCAAUAUCUGACGGCAAUUGAAUUUCUCGCUUAAUUGAAGUUCAGAAGAUUUGCAGAUUCGGCCCAGAAGUUUCCCUUAUUUGCAAUUAAGCCCAGUUCGUGGUUAAGACAUAUAUAUUGAGUUUUUAGGGUUUUGUUAAGACUUAAGCUUUAUUUUAUAGAGAGAGAGAUUUGUAGAGAGCCAGGUGAGAAGAAUCCAAACCUCUUUCAGAGAAGAGUCAGAACUCCUUUACUUCUUCUAUUACUUUCUUUUAUGAUAUCUAUUUUAUUCAUGAUGUUUGUUUCAUUCACCAUGUUUGAGUAGAUUUCUUGUUAGAUUUAGGGUUUUCAAAGGAAUUUAUGAAUUGUUAGGUUGUUAGACUGUUAGGAUUGAAUUAAUAGAGUUCUUCAUCUAGAUUGUGGUUAAUUUGUUCUAGAGUAGUGAAAGCAACCUAGAAUCUGAUCUUAGGUUAAUUGGUAGACACGAAAGUGUUAUUGAUUUCCUGAAAAUAAUCUAAAUGAGCAAAAUUCCUAUUCGCAAAGCGAUUUGGUUUAGGGAUUUUAUGAACUUAUCAAACCUGAAUUAAAUGCAUGUCUGAAACUCAUAAAUUUGCAAAGAGAUUUGGAAUUUAGGGUUUUAGACAUAGAUAGUCUUUGCAACGAAAGUUAAUUGAUUAUAAUUUUGUGAUUUGAGUUCAAGAACGGUGCUUUGUAAAUCCUGAAAUUAUUUAUUUACAAUUCUGAAUUUCCUGAGAAUAUCGCUAGGCCUAGUGUUUCCUCAUUACUGUUUAAAAACCAAUCUUUAUUUUAAUUUGCUGUUUUUAUUUUAUUUAAAACCUGCUUGCUUAGCUUAAUUUUAAUACCGAAUAUUUACUGUGUAAUCUUUGAGUCUCUAUGGAUUCGAUCCCUAAGUACUACAAUGAUCUCUUAAUUGAGAGAGUAACUCAAGGCAAAUAUGAGCCGAUCAAAGAUUGGUGAAGUGGAAGUGCUAACUGACUUGUUAGAAGAUUUCAGGGCAAAUUUCCACAUGGCUUGUUAGAA